UGGGGAAUUUUGGACAAUGGGCGAAAGCCUGAUCCAGCAAUGCCGCGUGUGUGAAGAAGGCCUUCGGGUUGUAAAGCACUUUUGUCCGGAAAGAAAUCCUUGGCUCUAAUACAGUCGGGGGAUGACGGUACCGGAAGAAUAAGCACCGGCUAACUACGUGCCAGCAGCCGCGGUAAUACGUAGGGUGCAAGCGUUAAUCGGAAUUACUGGGCGUAAAGCGUGCGCAGGCGGUUUGCUAAGACCGAUGUGAAAUCCCCGGGCUCAACCUGGGAACUGCAUUGGUGACUGGCAGGCUAGAGUAUGGCAGAGGGGGGUAGAAUUCCACGUGUAGCAGUGAAAUGCGUAGAGAUGUGGAGGAAUACCGAUGGCGAAGGCAGCCCCCUGGGCCAAUACUGACGCUCAUGCACGAAAGCGUGGGGAGCAAACAGGAUUAGAUACCCUGGUAGUCCACGCCCUAAACGAUGUCAACUAGUUGUUGGGGAUUCAUUUCCUUAGUAACGUAGCUAACGCGUGAAGUUGACCGCCUGGGGAGUACGGUCGCAAGAUUAAAAGUCAAAUGAAUUGACGGGGUCAUAGCUG
This 579-nucleotide ribosomal RNA is filed under the name uncultured bacterium. RNAcentral describes it as "partial 16S ribosomal RNA". It matches the Rfam family "Bacterial small subunit ribosomal RNA", at positions 355 to 932 of the family's 1533-position model. The record is from RNAcentral.